Molecule: ribosomal RNA, 498 nt
Filed under: uncultured bacterium
Lineage: Bacteria
Description: partial 16S ribosomal RNA
Rfam family: Bacterial small subunit ribosomal RNA
Source: RNAcentral
AUUGAACGCUGGCGGCAUGCCUUACACAUGCAAGUCGAACGGUAACAGGUCUUCGGAUGCUGACGAGUGGCGAACGGGUGAGUAAUACAUCGGAACGUGCCUAGUAGUGGGGGAUAACUACUCGAAAGAGUGGCUAAUACCGCAUGAGAUCUACGGAUGAAAGCAGGGGAUCGCAAGACCUUGUGCUACUAGAGCGGCCGAUGGCAGAUUAGGUAGUUGGUUGGAGAAAAGCUUACCAAGCCGACGAUCUGUAGCUGGUCUGAGAGGACGAUCAGCCACACUGGGACUGAGACACGGCCCAGACUCCUACGGGAGGCAGCAGUGGGGAAUUUUGGACAAUGGGCGAAAGCCUGAUCCAGCAAUGCCGCGUGCAGGAUGAAGGCCUUCGGGUUGUAAACUGCUUUUGUACGGAACGAAAAGCCCCGGGUUAAUACCCUGGGGUCAUGACGGUACCGUAAGAAUAAGCACCGGCUAACUACGUGCCAGCCGCCGCAGUAA